This 253-nucleotide ribosomal RNA is filed under the name uncultured bacterium. RNAcentral describes it as "partial 16S ribosomal RNA". It matches the Rfam family "Bacterial small subunit ribosomal RNA", at positions 524 to 776 of the family's 1533-position model. The record is from RNAcentral.
GACAGAGGGUGCAAACGUUGUUCGGAAUUACUGGGCGUAAAGAGUGUGUAGGCGGUUCUGUAAGUUUGGUGUGAAAUCUCCCGGCUUAACUGGGAGGGUGCGCCGAAAACUGCAAGGCUUGAGUGCUGGAGAGGAUAGCGGAAUUCCUGGUGUAGCGGUGAAAUGCGUAGAUAUCAGGAGGAACACCGGCGGUGUAGACGGCUAUCUGGACAGUAACUGACGCUGAGACACGAAAGCGUGGGGAGCAAACAGG